RNAcentral lists this ribosomal RNA (1039 nucleotides) under Weissella cibaria. RNAcentral's name for it is "bacterial SSU rRNA". It matches the Rfam family "Bacterial small subunit ribosomal RNA", at positions 419 to 1452 of the family's 1533-position model. The record is from RNAcentral. Lineage: Bacteria; Bacillati; Bacillota; Bacilli; Lactobacillales; Lactobacillaceae.
CGGCUCGUAAAACACUGUUGUAAGAGAAGAAUGACAUUGAGAGUAACUGUUCAAUGUGUGACGGUAUCUUACCAGAAAGGAACGGCUAAAUACGUGCCAGCAGCCGCGGUAAUACGUAUGUUCCAAGCGUUAUCCGGAUUUAUUGGGCGUAAAGCGAGCGCAGACGGUUAUUUAAGUCUGAAGUGAAAGCCCUCAGCUCAACUGAGGAAUUGCUUUGGAAACUGGAUGACUUGAGUGCAGUAGAGGAAAGUGGAACUCCAUGUGUAGCGGUGAAAUGCGUAGAUAUAUGGAAGAACACCAGUGGCGAAGGCGGCUUUCUGGACUGUAACUGACGUUGAGGCUCGAAAGUGUGGGUAGCAAACAGGAUUAGAUACCCUGGUAGUCCACACCGUAAACGAUGAGUGCUAGGUGUUUGAGGGUUUCCGCCCUUAAGUGCCGCAGCUAACGCAUUAAGCACUCCGCCUGGGGAGUACGACCGCAAGGUUGAAACUCAAAGGAAUUGACGGGGACCCGCACAAGCGGUGGAGCAUGUGGUUUAAUUCGAAGCAACGCGAAGAACCUUACCAGGUCUUGACAUCCCUUGACAACUCCAGAGAUGGAGCGUUCCCUUCGGGGACAAGGUGACAGGUGGUGCAUGGUUGUCGUCAGCUCGUGUCGUGAGAUGUUGGGUUAAGUCCCGCAACGAGCGCAACCCUUAUUACUAGUUGCCAGCAUUUAGUUGGGCACUCUAGUGAGACUGCCGGUGACAAACCGGAGGAAGGUGGGGAUGACGUCAAAUCAUCAUGCCCCUUAUGACCUGGGCUACACACGUGCUACAAUGGCGUAUACAACGAGUUGCCAACCCGCGAGGGUGAGCUAAUCUCUUAAAGUACGUCUCAGUUCGGAUUGUAGGCUGCAACUCGCCUACAUGAAGUCGGAAUCGCUAGUAAUCGCGGAUCAGCACGCCGCGGUGAAUACGUUCCCGGGUCUUGUACACACCGCCCGUCACACCAUGAGAGUUUGUAACACCCAAAGCCGGUGGGGUAACCUCGGGAGCCAG